Molecule: ribosomal RNA, 1353 nt
Filed under: uncultured fungus
Lineage: Eukaryota; Fungi
Description: eukaryotic LSU rRNA
Rfam family: Eukaryotic large subunit ribosomal RNA (bases 666-1353)
Source: RNAcentral
CUUGGUCAUUUAGAGGAAGUAAAAGUCGUAACAAGGUUUCCGUAGGUGAACCUGCGGAAGGAUCAUUAUUGAAUAAACUUGGUUGGGUUGUUGCUGGCUUCUCGGAGCAUGUGCACGCCUAGCGCCAUUUUUACCACCUGUGCACUUCUUGUAGAUUUGAAACACCUUUCGAGGCAACUCGGUUUGAGGACUGCUAUGCGAAAGCUAGCUUUCCUUGCGUUUCAGGUCUAUGUUUUUACAUACCCCAUAAGAAUGUUUUAGAAUGUCAUUAAUGGGCUUUAGUGCCUCUAAAUUAAUACAACUUUCAACAACGGAUCUCUUGGCUCUCGCAUCGAUGAAGAACGCAGCGAAAUGCGAUAAGUAAUGUGAAUUGCAGAAUUCAGUGAAUCAUCGAAUCUUUGAACGCACCUUGCGCUCCUUGGUAUUCCGAGGAGCAUGCCUGUUUGAGUGUCAUUAAAUUCUCAACCCUUUCAGCUUUUGCGAGUUGGAUUGGCUUGGAUGUGGANGNUUGCNGGCUUCUCANAAGUCGGCUCCNCUUAAAUGCAUUAGCGGAANCUUUGUGGACCAGCUUUGGUGNGANAAUUAUCUACNCCAUGGGCNGUGGAAGCACCUUUACAUGGGGGUCAGCUUCUAACCGUCCAUUGACUUGGACAWUUCUGACAUUUUGACCUCAAAUCAGGUAGGACUACCCGCUGAACUUAAGCAUAUCAAUAAGCGGAGGAAAAGAAACUAACAAGGAUUCCCUAGUAACUGCGAGUGAAGCGGGAAAAGCUCAAAUUUAAAAUCUGGCGGUCCUUGUGGCUGUCCGAGUUGUAAUCUAGAGAAGUGCUAUCCGCGCUGGACCGUGUACAAGUCUCCUGGAACGGAGCGUCAUAGAGGGUGAGAAUNCCCGUCUUUGACACGGACUACCCAGGGCUUUGUGAUGUGCUCUCAAAGAGUCGAGUUGUUUGGGAAUGCAGCUCUAAAUGGGUGGUAAAUUCCAUCUAAAGCUAAAUAUUGGCGAGAGACCGAUAGCGAACAAGUACCGUGAGGGAAAGAUGAAAAGAACUUUGGAAAGAGAGUUAAACAGUACGUGAAAUUGUUGAAAGGGAAACGCUUGAAGUCAGUCGCGUUGGCCGGGGAUCAACCUUGCUCUUUUGCUUGGCGUACUUUCCGGUUGACGGGUCAGCAUCAAUUUUGACCGGUGGAUAAAGGUCAGGGGAAUGUGGCAUCUUCGGAUGUGUUAUAGCCCUUGGUUGCAUACAUCGGUUGGGAUUGAGGAACUCAGCACGCCGCAAGGCCGGGUCUUUGACCACGUACGUGCUUAGGAUGCUGGCAUAAUGGCUUUAAUCGACCCGUCUUGAAACACGGACC